This 380-nucleotide ribosomal RNA is filed under the name Achromobacter animicus. RNAcentral's name for it is "bacterial SSU rRNA". It matches the Rfam family "Bacterial small subunit ribosomal RNA", at positions 787 to 1172 of the family's 1533-position model. Lineage: Bacteria; Pseudomonadati; Pseudomonadota; Betaproteobacteria; Burkholderiales; Alcaligenaceae. The record is from RNAcentral.
CUGGUAGUCCACGCCCUAAACGAUGUCAACUAGCUGUUGGGGCCUUCGGGCCUUGGUAGCGCAGCUAACGCGUGAAGUUGACCGCCUGGGGAGUACGGUCGCAAGAUUAAAACUCAAAGGAAUUGACGGGGACCCGCACAAGCGGUGGAUGAUGUGGAUUAAUUCGAUGCAACGCGAAAAACCUUACCUACCCUUGACAUGUCUGGAAUGCCGAAGAGAUUUGGCAGUGCUCGCAAGAGAACCGGAACACAGGUGCUGCAUGGCUGUCGUCAGCUCGUGUCGUGAGAUGUUGGGUUAAGUCCCGCAACGAGCGCAACCCUUGUCAUUAGUUGCUACGAAAGGGCACUCUAAUGAGACUGCCGGUGACAAACCGGAGGAAG